UGGGGAAUUUUGGACAAUGGGCGCAAGCCUGAUCCAGCCAUGCCGCGUGCAGGAUGAAGGCCUUCGGGUUGUAAACUGCUUUUGUACGGAACGAAAAGACUCUGGUUAAUACCUGGGGUCAAUGACGGUACCGUAAGAAUAAGCACCGGCUAACUACGUGCCAGCAGCCGCGGUAAUACGUAGGGUGCGAGCGUUAAUCGGAAUUACUGGGCGUAAAGCGUGCGCAGGCGGUUAUGUAAGACAGAUGUGAAAUCCCCGGGCUCAACCUGGGACCUGCAUUUGUGACUGCAUAGCUAGAGUACGGCAGAGGGGGAUGGAAUUCCUCGUGUAGCAGUGAAAUGCGUAGAUAUGCGGAGGAACACCGAUGGCGAAGGCAAUCCCCUGGGCCUGUACUGACGCUCAUGCACGAAAGCGUGGGGAGCAAACA
This 427-nucleotide ribosomal RNA is filed under the name uncultured bacterium. Its description in RNAcentral is "bacterial SSU rRNA". It matches the Rfam family "Bacterial small subunit ribosomal RNA", at positions 355 to 774 of the family's 1533-position model. The record is from RNAcentral.